This 268-nucleotide signal recognition particle RNA is filed under the name Sporosarcina sp. P3. Its description in RNAcentral is "signal recognition particle sRNA large type". It matches the Rfam family "Bacterial large signal recognition particle RNA". From Rfam's summary of the family: The signal recognition particle (SRP) is a universally conserved ribonucleoprotein involved in the co-translational targeting of proteins to membranes. Archaeal SRP consists of a 7S RNA and homologues of the eukaryotic SRP19 and SRP54 proteins. In most bacteria, the SRP consists of a 4.5S RNA and the Ffh protein (a homologue of the eukaryotic SRP54 protein). The record is from RNAcentral. Lineage: Bacteria; Bacillati; Bacillota; Bacilli; Caryophanales; Caryophanaceae.
CCGUGCUAGGUGGGGAAUUAGCGGUGCCCUGUAACUUGCAAUCCGCUCUAGCAAGACUGAACUCCUUUAUCCGAGGCUGUCCGCAUGUAGGGUCUGCCUUUUGCACGUAGUGUUGACGUCUGGGUCCUGCGCAAUGGGAACCCAUGAAUCAUGUCAGGUCCGGAAGGAAGCAGCAUUAAGUGGACUCUCUCAUGUGCCGCGGGGUAGCCUAGACCGAGCCAACGACAAGAGUAACGCUUAUGUGCGGCAGUCGAAGAAAGGUGCACGG